Long non-coding RNA from Ornithodoros turicata, 346 nucleotides. RefSeq lists it as uncharacterized. The transcript has 2 exons. The record is from RefSeq and is a predicted model, not a curated record. NCBI's taxonomy places the organism in Eukaryota, Metazoa, Arthropoda, Arachnida, Ixodida, Argasidae.
GGAAUAUAGAAUACUCCUCGUGCUCCUUCGUGCUUCUCAAUCUCAAGGAAAUGUUACCUCUUUCUACGGUGUAGACGUCCAACCUGCGUGUUUCAUUGCAGUCAUUACUCUGCUUAUGUUAUAGGUGGUCGCGGGUAUCAACUACAGGCUGACAUUUCUUGCUCAAGUAUGCGAUAAAUGGGAGCCAUGUCCUCGAAAUGCUAAGAUGCCUUCUCGAGCCAAAUGCGUGGCAGUCGUCUACGAGGUGCCCUGGCUGCACUCACGAACAUUAACGUCGUUCGACUGCAAAAGCCUCUAGCCUGCCUCUCAAGAAAUAAUAAAGGUAUAAGUUGUCCUUGGAUGUGUA